UGGGAAUAUUGGACAAUGGGCGCAAGCCUGAUCCAGCCAUGCCGCGUGAGUGAUGAAGGCCCUAGGGUUGUAAAGCUCUUUCGCCAGGGACGAUAAUGACGGUACCUGGAUAAGAAGCCCCGGCUAACUUCGUGCCAGCAGCCGCGGUAAUACGAAGGGGGCUAGCGUUGUUCGGAAUCACUGGGCGUAAAGCGCACGUAGGCGGAUCUUUAAGUCAGGGGUGAAAUCCCGAGGCUCAACCUCGGAACUGCCUUUGAUACUGGAGGUCUCGAGUCCGGGAGAGGUGAGUGGAACUGCGAGUGUAGAGGUGAAAUUCGUAGAUAUUCGCAAGAACACCAGUGGCGAAGGCGGCUCACUGGCCCGGUACUGACGCUGAGGUGCGAAAAGCGUGGGGAGCAAAACAGGAUUAGAUACCCUGGUAGUCCACGCCGUAAACUAUGGAUGCUAGCCGUUGGGCAGCUUGCUGUUCAGUGGCGCAGCUAACGCUUUAAGCAUCCCGCCUGGGGAGUACGGUCGCAAGAUUAAAACUCAAAGGAAUUGACGGGGUCAUAGCUGUUUCC
RNAcentral lists this ribosomal RNA (560 nucleotides) under uncultured bacterium. RNAcentral describes it as "partial 16S ribosomal RNA". It matches the Rfam family "Bacterial small subunit ribosomal RNA", at positions 356 to 937 of the family's 1533-position model. The record is from RNAcentral.